UAGCGCCUCGGCCUUGUAAAACCCCCUACCCGCCCCCAUAAUUCAAAGCAUGGUUGUAAUUCCGGCAAUCUGGAGGCGUUCUGGACAGGGGUUCGAUUCCCCUCACCUCCACCCAAGGGCAUUGGCGACAGUGUGUUUGGAUGGGGGUGCACUGGCUUCGACAGGGCGGGCAAAGGUGCGCAGGCAACUCGUCAGGCGAGCAAUUCGCUAUUGCCGCCUAAAAACGGUUAGCCGGGGCUGCUAGAGCCUUGUUACCAAAGAUAGCCGGCGGGGACUUCGGUCCCCGUCGUCA
Molecule: transfer-messenger RNA, 292 nt
Filed under: Betaproteobacteria bacterium HGW-Betaproteobacteria-7
Lineage: Bacteria; Pseudomonadati; Pseudomonadota; Betaproteobacteria
Rfam family: Betaproteobacteria transfer-messenger RNA
About the family: Bacterial tmRNA, also known as 10Sa RNA or SsrA, is named for its dual tRNA and mRNA-like properties. Its role is to liberate the mRNA from a stalled ribosome.
Source: RNAcentral